GCCAGGGGAGCAAACGGGAUUAGAUACCCCGGUAGUCCUGGCAGUAAACGGUGCACGUUUGGUGUGGGAGGAUUCGACCCCUUCCGUGCCGGAGCUAACGCGUUAAACGUGCCGCCUGGGAAGUACGGUCGCAAGAUUAAAACUCAAAGAAAUUGACGGGGGCCCGCACAAGCGGUGGAGUAUGUGGCUUAAUUCGAUGCAACGCGAAGAACCUUACCUGGCCUUGACAUGCAUCUCUAAGUUGGUGAAAGCCAGCGAGUGUAGCAAUACACAAUUUGCACAGGUGCUGCAUGGCCGUCGUCAGCUCGUGUCGUGAGAUGUUGGGUUAAGUCCCGCAACGAGCGCAACCCCUGUGAUCUGUUGCCACCGGCGCAAGCCGAGCACUCUGAUCAGACUGCCCUGUGAAACGGGGAGGAAGGUGGGGACGACGUCAAGUCAGUAUGGCCCUUACGGCCAGGGCUGCACACGUACUACAAUGCCCAGGACAGAAAGAACCAAAACCGCGAGGUGGAGGAAAUCGUUAAACCUGGGCCCAGUUCGGAUUGAAGGCUGCAACUCGCCUUCAUGAAGUUGGAAUCGCUAGUAAUGCCGUAUCAGCUACGACGGCGUGAAUACGUUCCCGGGCCUUGUACACACCGCCCGUCACAUCAUGGAAGUCGUUUGUACCCGAAGUCGCUGCGCUAACCCUCACGGGAGGCAGGUGCCUAAGGUAUGGAUGGUAAC
Molecule: ribosomal RNA, 723 nt
Filed under: uncultured bacterium
Lineage: Bacteria
Description: bacterial SSU rRNA
Rfam family: Bacterial small subunit ribosomal RNA
Source: RNAcentral